Molecule: long non-coding RNA, 1512 nt
Filed under: Homo sapiens (human)
Lineage: Eukaryota; Metazoa; Chordata; Mammalia; Primates; Hominidae
Description: HSALNT0209850
Source: RNAcentral
GUUUUUUACAGUAGGCCUUCUGUGGGUCCUGAUACAAUUCCCAAACAAUGGUGGAAAUUAUAAAGAAACAGAUGAUAUGACUAUUACCUGUAAAUCAUGACCAGAAAUAUAAUACAGACCUACUUCAUUUUAUUACACUUCAUUGUGCCUCACAGAUACUGUGGUUUCUUGUUUGUUUGUUUUAACACAUUGAAGGUUUGUGGCAACUCUGUUGAGCAAGUCUAUCAGCACCAUUUUCCCAACAGUUUGUUCUUGCUUUGUGUCUCUGUGUGACACUUUGGUAACUCUCAUAAUAUUUUAGACUUUGCAUUAUUAUUGUAUCUGUUAUGGUUAUCUAUGAUCAGUCAUCUUUGAUGCUACUAUUGUUAUUUUGGUGUACCACAAACCACAUCUAUAGAAAAUAGCUAACUGAAUUGACAGAUGUAUGUGUUCUGACUACUUUCCCCAUCUCUCUCCCUCUCCUUGAGCCUCCCUACUUCCUAAGAUACAAUCAUUAAAAUUAGGCCUAUGACUAACCCUACAGUGACCUCUACGUGUUCAGGUGAUAGGAAAAGUCCUAUGUCUCUCACUUCAAAUCAAAAGCUAGAAAUGAUUGUUUCAUGAGGAAGGCAUGUUGAAACUAGGCCUCUUGUGCCAAACAGCCAAGUUGUGAAUGCAAAGGAGAAGUUCUUGAAGGAAAGUAUAGGUGCUACUUCAUUGAACACAUGAAUGAUAAGAAAGUGAAAUGGCCUUAUUGUUGAUAUGGAGAAAAUUUUAGUGGUCUGGAUAGAAGAUGAAACCAGCCACAGCAUUCUCUUAAGCCAACAUCUAAUCCAGAGCAAAGCCCUCACUCUCUUCAAGUCUAUGAAGGAUGAGAGAGGUGAGGAAGCUGCAGGAGAAAAGUUUGAUGCUAGCAGAGGUUGGUUCAUGAGGUUUAGAUAAAGAAGUCAUCUCCCUAAAAAUGCAAGAUGAAUCAGCAGGUGCUGAUGUAGAAGCUGCAGCAAGUUAUCCAGAACGUCUAGCUAAGCUCAUUGAUGAAGGUGGCUACACUAAACAGCAGAUUUUCAGUGUAGACAAAAACAGCCUUCUGUUGCAAGAAGAAGCCAUCUAGGACUUUGAUAGCUAGAGAGAAGUCAAUGCCUGACUUCAAAGCUUCAAAGGGCAGACUGACUCUCUUGUUAGAGGUUAAUGCAACUGGUCACUUUAAGCUGAAGCCAUUUGCAAUUCCAAAAAUCCUAGGGUCCUUAAGAAUUAUGUUAAAUCUGCUCUGCCUGUGCUCCAUAAAUGGAACAACAAAGUGUGGAUGUCAGCACGUCUGUAUACAGCAUGGUUUACUCAAUAUUUUAAGCCCACGACCUACUGCUCAGAAAAAGGCUCCUUUUAAAAUUACUUCUCAUUGACAAUGCACCUGGUUAUUAAGGAGCUCUGAUGGAGAUGUGCAAGGAAAUUCAUGUUUUCAUGCCUGUGAACACAACACCCAUUCUGCAGCCCAUGGAUCAAAGGGAAACAGGAUGCCCUUGUCCUCGACCUCUC